Molecule: ribosomal RNA, 498 nt
Filed under: uncultured bacterium
Lineage: Bacteria
Description: partial 16S ribosomal RNA
Rfam family: Bacterial small subunit ribosomal RNA
Source: RNAcentral
GACGAACGCUGGCGGCGUGCCUAAUACAUGCAAGUCGAACGAGAGCGACCGGUGCUUGCACUGGUCAAUCUAGUGGCGAACGGGUGAGUAACACGUGGGUAACCUGCCCAUCAGAGGGGGAUAACAUUCGGAAACGGAUGCUAAAACCGCAUAGGUCUUCGAACCGCAUGGUUUGAAGAGGAAAAGAGGCGCAAGCUUCUGCUGAUGGAUGGACCCGCGGUGCAUUAGCUAGUUGGUGAGGUAACGGCUCACCAAGGCCGUGAUGCAUAGCCGACCUGAGAGGGUGAUCGGCCACAUUGGGACUGAGACACGGCCCAAACUCCUACGGGAGGCAGCAGUAGGGAAUCUUCCGCAAUGGACGCAAGUCUGACGGAGCAACGCCGCGUGAGUGAAGAAGGUUUUCGGAUCGUAAAACUCUGUUGUUAGAGAAGAAUAAGUGCUAGAGUAACUGUUAGCGUCUUGACGGUACCUAACCAGAAAGCCACGGCUAACUACGUG